GGUAGGAUGGCCGAGUUGGUCUAAGGCGCCGCACUCAAGUUGCAGUCUCGAGAGAGGCGUGGGUUCAAAUCCCACUUCUACCA
Molecule: transfer RNA, 83 nt
Filed under: Mortierella sp. AM989
Lineage: Eukaryota; Fungi; Mortierellomycota; Mortierellomycetes; Mortierellales; Mortierellaceae
Rfam family: tRNA
About the family: Transfer RNA (tRNA) molecules are approximately 80 nucleotides in length.
Source: Rfam by way of RNAcentral